This 574-nucleotide ribosomal RNA is filed under the name Rhodotorula mucilaginosa. RNAcentral's name for it is "eukaryotic LSU rRNA". It matches the Rfam family "Eukaryotic large subunit ribosomal RNA", at positions 67 to 657 of the family's 3401-position model. Lineage: Eukaryota; Fungi; Basidiomycota; Microbotryomycetes; Sporidiobolales; Sporidiobolaceae. The record is from RNAcentral.
UAAAAGGAUUGCCCUAGUAGCGGCGAGCGAAGCGGGAAGAGCUCAAAUUUAUAAUCUGGCACCUUCGGUGUCCGAGUUGUAAUCUCUAGAAAUGUUUUCCGCGUUGGACCGCACACAAGUCUGUUGGAAUACAGCGGCAUAGUGGUGAGACCCCCGUAUAUGGUGCGGACGCCCAGCGCUUUGUGAUACAUUUUCGAAGAGUCGAGUUGUUUGGGAAUGCAGCUCAAAUUGGGUGGUAAAUUCCAUCUAAAGCUAAAUAUUGGCGAGAGACCGAUAGCGAACAAGUACCGUGAGGGAAAGAUGAAAAGCACUUUGGAAAGAGAGUUAACAGUACGUGAAAUUGUUGGAAGGGAAACGCUUGAAGUCAGACUUGCUUGCCGAGCAAUCGGUUUGCAGGCCAGCAUCAGUUUUCCGGGAUGGAUAAUGGUAGAGAGAAGGUAGCAGUUUCGGCUGUGUUAUAGCUCUCUGCUGGAUACAUCUUGGGGGACUGAGGAACGCAGUGUGCCUUUGGCGGGGGUUUCGACCUCUUCACACUUAGGAUGCUGGUGGAAUGGCUUUAAACGACCCGUCUUAA